Long non-coding RNA from Mus pahari (shrew mouse), 7067 nucleotides. RefSeq lists it as uncharacterized. The record is from RefSeq and is a predicted model, not a curated record. NCBI's taxonomy places the organism in Eukaryota, Metazoa, Chordata, Mammalia, Rodentia, Muridae. The transcript is spliced from 7 exons.
UGGAAUCAAGGUAGUUAUUUCUGAGUAUAAUUCAAGUACAAGAAUUAUAGUGUCACUGUUUUCUGAAAAGUAUAUAUGCUAUAUAAAUGGCAUGGUUUCAUUUUAUUUUUCAAAUCACUAAAAUGUGUGAUAUAUUUUAUUUUUCCAAAUUAUCAAGAUAUAUCAGAAUUACAUGCUUUGUACUCAUCUGAUACAUGGCAAAAAUGGAACUUUCUAAUUCGUUAGACUUUUAUACCAAUCAUCUAGUAUUUGCAGAAGUAUUGAGACUCAUAAACUUUUAAAUUUAUAAUUAUAGUGCAAAUCCUGUUGUCUUACAAUGAAGAUGACACAUUGAGAGUUUAUAAAGGGAAUCAUGGAGCUCAGAAUUUUUCAUAUUUUUUUUAAAUCCCAGAGGAGCAAUUUAUAAACACUUUAUAUUUACUCUGUUCUCAGAACAGUUGCCUGUUUUAUCAUUUGAAUUACACAUUUAAAAAAAAUGACACAUUGGGUAUUCAGUUGGCUUUCUGAGACUUUUAAUGAGGCUAAUAAUUCAAAGCUUUUUCUUUUUUUUUAAAAAAAAUCAGCAUUCAUGAAGAUUUUGUACUACCUCUUGGAAUACAUACAAAAUUUUGUAUGUGUUCCCUUAUUGCAUGACAAUAUUCAAGACAACUUUGUAAAUAAUAGUCAAGUUCAAAAUUUUAACAUCUAGUCUUUCUAGAUGUAUAGAGUGUCACAGGGUAUAAUUUUGUAAAUAUAUCAGUAUAAGCUUUCAUGCUUUUUAAUUUUUUUGAGUGUGAUUUUUUUUUAAAAAUUGAUCUUGUUUGUUACUUGUUAAUAAAUAACAGAGAGGAAUGAGAAAAAGUAUUUUAAGUUCACCUUUGGCUACUCAUCUCCUGGAAAAAUUUCAUUAACCUUAGUGAAAGGCUUUUGUAACACUCAAAACUGUUUAUAAUGGCAUAAAUUAUAGUCAUGUGGUUGUAGUAAUGAAAGGACAUUAUCUAAACAUUUCCAUUUAGGCAUUAUAGGAAAUAUCUCUUGCAAGAGUUUGUCUACCUUUGUGAUUGAGUUAAUACACUGUUAUAUUUAUGGUGCAUGACAGCACUCAAGACAUACUGUAAAUAUAUACAUAUAUUUAUGCCAGUUUGAAAUAUCCAUUUUUACAGAUGCAUUCUUAACACAAUAUAAGCCUGUAAAUCUUUCAUUGUGACCUAACAUUAAUUAAAUUAAACCAGUAAAUUCUUUUAUGAUGGAAUAAAUACUAUUAAAGUGUUAAGUAUAAAACUUUAUGAAUAGUUUCUCAUGUAGAGAAGAAUAAGCCAGUUUUUAUAUACUGUUUACAUGAAACAAAAUUACAGGAAAAAAAUUAGGUGCUUUUUAUCUCAAAGAUAAAUGAACUGUGAAAAACUAUUUGUAAAUGUUAAGUUAAUUAGAAAAAUUUUCAAAAUCGUUGUUACUUCAUGAUUUACCAUUGGCACACUUACUUACUUUUACUUGCACUGAUUGCAUUCACAUAUUUAAGUUAUAAAAGUAUAUAGAUUACAUACUUUUUGAUUAUGUUUAUAUUGUGCAUUUUGAUUCAUAUUCUGGUUUACAAAUUAUAAAGAUAAUAUUUUAUUUAUAAUUCAGUUAAUUCUGCAAUCUCCAUGAUAUGACUAAAUUCAUUUUGUGGUAAAUACAUAUCCUGUAACUUUUCUAAAUGUUUUAAGUGUUUAUAUAUAUCUUUAAGCAAUUUUAAAAUUUUGUAUAUUUUCAUCUAGUAUUAAUAAAGGUAAAUAUCUAGUGUACUGUAUGAAAAAACAGCCUGUAUCACGUUAAAAGCAAUCAAGAGAAAUUAAAAUCAGAGUUAGGAUUAAUGAGUAGCAUUUAUCCCAGCACCUUUCAAGAUUAUACACAGCUCCAUACUCAGUUUGAGGACAGCUUGGGCUCAUUAGGCCUUUUGUCAAAAGAAAGUGUGAAAACAAAGAAAAACUGAACACCUCCCUUCAAAACAAAAGGAAUUGUAAGAAUAUGAUUUUUUUUGUUCCAAUUUUAAAGUUAUCUCCUAAGAUUUCACUAUUUGUGAUUCUUAAAUGUAAUUUGAUUUUUUUUUUUUGUUGGACAGUAAGAUAGCCAAAUACCAGAUCUACGAAAGAGCAUUACAGCUUAAGGUGAAUGUAAUUUAACAGUGAAAUAUUCUCUAGAGGUGGGGUGUUGUAUUAUAAACUAAAAGAAGAAACAAGUUGCCUUCUUGUAGACAUAUUUUAGUUCAUACUAAAAUAGUUAAGAAAUUCCUGAUUAUGCGUAUGUUGUGUCAUUAAGGAAGUAAAUACUUUUGUAUCAUGAUAUGUAUUAUUUUACAGUAAUAAUUGAAGAUUUGUGAAAAUCAAUUAAACUAUACAUGCUUGGAAAUGGCCACAUGAGACCAUAUUGAAUGAACAAUUUAUUCCAACAGAAAACAUGUUCAGGAAGAAUGUUAAAAUUUUAACACUUGUAAAUAGGAAGAAGAUGACAUUUGCCAGUCUUUGUACUUUAUGAGGGUAUUCGCAAAUAAGCAUCAAAACAAGAAGAAAAUAUUAAAAGGACAUUUUGUGCCAGUACAUCAUGGUUGUGCUGGAUUACCUACCCAACUCUGUAUAAUGGUUUUUCAAACAAUUUGUGAAGAAUGUUAGAAUCUUCAGAGUCUUCUGCAUCAGCAAAGAGUAGUGAAACUAAUGGAAAAGAUAAAAUUUUUGGUGCUCAUGAUGACUUAAUUUAAUAGUCAGAACGUGAGAACAGCUGAGAAUUUACAUUCCUGAAAACUAGAGGCGGUUGCCGAAUCGGAUAGCCGUUGGUUCUACAGCCACUAUAAUGAUCUGAAAAGCUGAAUGAGUUGCAUGAACACUGUCAGGAAUCAUAAUAGAACUCAGCUAAUUGGAUAGAGAAGGGAAUGUUGAUUUGAAGACAAUUACUAUAUAAAGAUUUUCUCAUUGCUGCUGUGCUGUUGCAUUAACUCAAGAAGUGGAGACACUUCUACAUGGAUAAGAAUUGUGUGAUUGAAUUGAUUGUGGAAUCAUCUCAGUGUUUUCAUAAAAUAUUCACUGUAUGUAGUCAAUUUUUUCCUCAGAGUUGAUGCUUACAAAUACUUGUCAAGUUGGAAAAAUUCACUUUUACUUUUAUUUGCAUCACACUUAAUAGAUUAGAAACUAGAUUGCUUUUAAUUGAGUCUUCAUUUACAACCUCAAGGAAUAUUCUGGGAUUACAGUCAAAUAUUACAGCACCAGAUUUAUUUGGUUUUGGCAUUCAAAUUCAGAGAUUCCCUCAGGCUGGAAAACUGCUAUAUCAACUGAACUACUAUAUCUCUAGCUAAAGAAUGUGGUUUUUCUCUGAUCCAGGAGUAGUGUUGUCCAACUCUACUCCUAUCUACUUAAAAGAUAGCACAGGAGGCCUGCACAUUUGAGGUCACCUUGACAACACUGAAACCUCUUCUUCCCAUCUCAACAAUAAAAAGGUGGUGAACAUCUUCACAUACACAUCAAAUAUGCCUUUCUGAAGGUUUCAUCUACAGCAUCUCCCAAAUACCAUUAUAUAUUUAUUGUUUCUGGAGUAUUAUUUUACCUUUAUUAUCUCACAACUCAUAUAGAAGAUUUCCAAGGAAUAGAAAUGACCGGCUCGUGGCAAGUAAUUGCCUGAAAUGUUCAAUACUUCUGUUUUCAGUAUAUCUUGGACUCUCAUAUUGUUUGUUGCAUAUUAUCUCAUUCAUAUUUUAUUUUGCAAAUGGAAGAAACUUUUCUAAGUGGGUUGCAUAGCUAAUGUACAUAAAUAUUUUUAUGAUACUUCAGAUUAUAACAAAAUUUUCUGAGUAAUUGAACCUCCCUCUAUACCAGUUUUGUUAUCAUUUGUGAGAUAUCUUCCUCCUUUGAAUAAGAAACUCAGAUUUUAGGUGGGCCUGAAAGAAGAUUGUUUGGCACAGUGGUGUUCUUUAGAGAAGAUGCUCUGGUGCUAUUUUUGCAGAUAUUACAGUCUCUCUCUAGGACAGCAAUAUGAGUAUGAUUUGCUUUUUCUCUAAUAUAACUACUGGAGACUUUGAAGCACUUGUAACUGAGUGGGUUGAGAAAUGUUGUCCUUGCAUUGAUAAGGAGAGCCAUAGUGAUGCUAUGUUGUAGAAUGUGUGGCAUCCUAUUUUUAUCGAUAUCACUUUUCAGGUUUCAGUAAAAUCUCAGUGUUUCAAAGUGAUUUUAGUUUUCUGUGUAAUGUGGGUUUUUUUCUUUGUUUUUCUCCUUAAACUAAGUAAAGUAAUGUAAAGUAGUGCUUAUUUUCAAUAUUAGUUGUGUGUUUCUAGACAAUAAGUCACCAGUUCAUUUGAAAAUGACUAUCUGCAUUUCUCAACCUGUUUUAAUAAUUGUAAGAGUGAAAAUAAUUGGUAAGAAUUUGAGUGUUUGGAUACAUAUGUCUGCAUGUGUGUAUGCGCAUGUCAGGUGUCUGUAGAAAUCAGAAAUAAAAGUCAGGAUUAUAUAAUAAUUAUAUUUUGAAUGUUUGAAUUGUUUCCUAAUACAUUACUUAAUAGUUGUCAGUAAGAAGGCUCAAUGGAAAAAGUCACCUGGGAACUCCAAUUGGAUCACUGGAACCCAGGUUAUAUGUAAGACAGAAUAUAGCUGAGAACAGGACACUUCUCAGAUUAUUUUUAAUCUCAUAAGUUUGUAGUACAAUCCGUAUCCCCCUUACUCAUUAUAUUAUUAUUAUAUUUUAGCGAUAUCCUGAGGUGCAUACUGAAUUCUUUUUUAAUACUCAUUUUUUAUAUGCAGUAUUGUUUUCUUCUUUUAAUUGUAAGGUUAAAUUAGUGUAUUUCAAUUAGUCUCUCAUGUUUACAUUUUCUUAGGUCAGAUUGCUUAUGACUCUAAUCAGAUACUGUUACAACUUCUCAGUAUGUGUUAAGGGCCACAAAACUUUGUAAAACUCUAGAUUUACAGACCAUAUUUUUGAAACUAGGAAUCUGUUCUAGUAGUACAAGAACAAUUAAGGCUAAUUAUUAAACUAUUCCCCCAUAAAUAGUUGCAAUACACAAAUCUUGGGCUAUAUUUGGAUUUUCACAGAUAGUUGUCUAACCUGUAGUCAGGUGUAUAGGUCUCGUUUCAUCAGACAAUCUUUGGUAGAUUUAGGAUUAGAAGGUACAGAAAGGAUAUCUAUUCUUGUACAAGUUUUUGAAUAUUCUACAUGAGUGUUUCUCAACCUAUGGGUCCCAACCCCUUUCUGGGUCAAAUACACCUUUCAUUGGGGUCACUUAAGACCAUUGGAAAGCACAGAUAUUUUACAUUACAAUUCAUAACAGUAGCAAAAUUAUAGUUAUGAAGUAGCAUUAAAAAUAAUUUGAUGGUAGGAGGUCCCUAUUAUAUGAAGAGAUGUAUUAAAGGACUGUCAUAUUAACCAUUUUAAAGUUAGAUGUUUUAGUUCAUUAUUAUAUCAACAUAUACUGUGAUGAAAGAAUUCUGUGGUCAUUCUUUGGUAGUCUGCUAUUCCAGUUCCAUACCUGCUUAUGAUAAGAGAUAAACUUUCAUGAUGUAUAUACUAGUCAGUAACUUUCUUAAGUUUAUAUAAAUGUACAUGGAAAUUUUAGAUGUAAGAUCUUUGUAUUAAUGAUUUUUCCAUUUAAUAUAUCAUAGUGGCUUAUGGAGUUUACAAAAAUAUGUUUUCUGCGGCUUGUGGGGCUGUUGAUGAUGUAUAUAAUUAUAUAACUAUGAUAAUAUUUUUGCAUUCCUGCUUAUAUAAUAGUUUUCCAGGUAUAGUAAUAUUAGAUCAUCAUCUGUAUAUGUCUUUGGUUUCUGUCAAUAUUGUAAAGUUACCCGCACAUGUUUUCUGGGUUAAGCCAGAGCAGUGAUAUAUUAUAGUGCUAAUUUUCAUAGUUUUGUCUUUACUAAGUUUCAAUGGCUUUGUAAAUAACAGCCAAUCUAAUAGGUGAAAUAAUAUUUUUAAAGCCUAAAUUAAGACUAAUUUAAAUGCUUAAUGGCCAUAAUUUUAUAAAACUAAAUAGAUUUUUAGUUGUAGAAGCAAAGUAAAGUUUCCAAAUUUUGCUAAGUUUACAUACUGAUACAGCAAAGGUUACAUAGAGAUACCUUGUCUCAAUAUUAGCAUAUUUUUCAUAAAUUGCUUGAGUAUACACUAUGGUAACAAGUUUUUAUUUAUAUUUAAUUUUGAUGUAAUUAUAGAACCACAUACUUUUUUAUAUAAUCUGACUUACUCUCUGCAUUCCUUUCAAUUAUUAUUUCCAUUACUCUUUCCCUCCCUAUUCUUCUCAUCUUAUAUUUGUUUAUACAUGCCAAUUUGUUUUCUGAACUGUGUUUUCAUUUAAGAUAUGCUGUUCACAUUGGCCAAAAUUUUUCUGUAGGUUUUUUAUAAAAUUGUGUUUAUGUUCCUUUAAUCUUGGUUUGAAAUAUAAGAACUGUUGAUUUUCUUGUUCAACUCUAAUAUUAACUAUAUUAUAAUAUAUUGCAAUGUAAUAUGUUAUAAUGUAGUAUUUUGGUAAGGAUUAUAUUAUACUAUAUUAUAUAGUUAUCCUCUAGAUUUCUGUUUCUUUUCUAAUGAAAGAAAGAAAGGGGUUGGUUCCAUUUAAGAAAAGAAGUGGAGAUGAAACAUAAUUAGAGGGAGGAGAAAUAUAAUUAUAAUAUAUUUUAUGAGACAAUAUCUAUAAAAGAAAGCAGAAUAAAAUUUAAGAAUAUCAGAUGCAUUAUUACUAGUUUAAAUGUAUGCCCUAUGUAUUAUUCAUAUUUACAUUUCAUUAGUUGGUUUAGUCUUGUUCCAUUCUGUGGGAUGAAGCAGUAUUUGCAAAAGCUAUGUUGCUUUCAUAUUAUUUAAUCAGAAUCAAUUCUGUAGACUAUUUUGGUUAUUCAUAACAUUGAAUUUCUUGCAAAUAACAUUUAGGCUUCAAGAGCCCUCAGCUUCUAAUUUUUUUCCUUGUAAAAGGAUUGAGGACAUAUAUUUGUCAUAGAAAACUUCAGAAUAAAUGUGUGUUAUCUUCAAUAAAUCAUGUCAAGUUUAAAUGCUUAUUAUCCCAAAAUGGAUUAUCAUUAGUUUAAUUCAAUGUGACAACUUUCUCCAAUGUUGAAGUUAUUUCUAAAUAAACAUUACAUACAAUGACU